CCCGCACCCCCGGCCCGUGUGCGGCGUUGUGCUGCGGCAGCACGAGGUUCAGUAACGGAGGGAAAGUGAGACCGUCAGCGACCUGACCUCUCUCACGCGCUUGGGGGUCAGACCCAGGGUGUCCUGCGGGCCGCGGUCUCCCACCUCCUCGAGGAACACGGUAUCUGCGAGUUGAAGUGUUCUAAAGCAGGAGAAGCAUGGCGCAGCCCCUGACUUGUUCUCUGAAGGUCUACGAUGCAGCUUGAAUUGAUGUCCAAUUGUUGGAGCACCGCUCACUGGAGAAUUUUACCUUCCCUGCUCAGCCACUCUGGGUCCCUUGACAGAAACCACUGACCAUGUGCGUUGGGUCUGUUUUUAGACACUCUGUUCUGAUGCAUUCAUCUUUCCUUUUUCCAGUACCAUACUCUUUUGAUUACUGAUGGUGUGCUAGUUAUUUUCCUGAAGGGUCCAUCAGUCAUCCGAGACCCUCUGCGUGCUGACGACCUGCGAGUGAAAUUCCUCCGACACAGGAUUUCUGCCGUGACUCUGAAGAUGUUUUAAGUUCGUGGCUGUCCCCCGGUGCCCGUGUCUCCUGUCGCUGCCUUGGCUUGUCCCCACAGACUCUGCAGGGGUCACAGCCGCGUCGCUCACACCCAGAGCACAGCCCUGCGGGAAGGUGGGCACUGGGACACGGGCACCCGCCCAGACCCUCUGCAGAGUCGGCGCCUCGCCAGCGGAUUCACCCCUGCCUUGGGCUGGACCUUGGGCCAGGGGGGUGGUCCUCUUCAGACCUUCCUGUAGUCCGCCCCCACCACCACCACCCCCCCCAGCAGCCAGCCUGGGUCACUUCUGCCGUCAGGAAGGACAAGAAAGCUGUUUUGAGAGAAGAGGUGAAGUUCCCAGUGGGGCCUCAGUCCAGCCACUGGGUGUCUCUGUCCCUGUAGGGCCAGCAAGUGGUCCCCAGGCUGGAGGGACUCCCAGGGUGGGGCCCAAGCACAGGCUUUUAGAGUCAGGUGGCCUCUGACCCCAGAGCCAUCCCCUCCGAGCCUUCCUGUCCUGCGGAUCCGCUGGACUCCAGGCCUCCUCGGCUCCUUGCUGAGUCUCCUGCCAGAUGAGCAGAUUCUCAGGCUGGUCCUGCUGAGCGGGAAAGUCUGGGGAUUCUGAUACUCACUCAUGUUUGGGGCCCUCUGCCCUCCAGACACUGGAGACUCCUUCCUUUCCUGGCCGACUGGCAAAGCACAUUCCUUGCUGUGAUCUGUCAGUGCUGUAGGUAACGUCCGUGAUGCUGUGGGGCUUUCGGGAUAAACCCCAAAUGUGCCCUCCUCUGUCCAGAUUGUGCCCAGAUCCGUGGGCCUGGCCCACUCUGCCCUGUAACCCUUCUCCCCAUCAGGUUCAGAAAGCCCACCCGGCCGCCGUCCCCACCGGGGACGUGCUCCCUGCUGGUGCUGGACCUCCCUGAGCCACAGCUCACAGCUGCGCCUGUGCCUCCCCGGGGCCGUCUCGUUCAUCACCGCUUACUCUCGCGGCUGACACAGAGGAGACUGUCAGUAAACGGGGGAUAAACAAAACCGUGAAUUCCUGAAGCGAAAGGUCCGCACCUCUCCCAGGAAGAAGUGUGUUGAACGGAGGACAGAAACGCGGCUCUGCUCACAGUCUUGUCAGUGUUAAGGGAAAGCGGUCAGCUCCCUGAGCUUAAAAAAGUCAGUUAGGCAUCUUUGUCAGGGUCCCCAAGACCACUGGGGCUCGAUUCACUCGGGGCCCCCAGGACCCAGCGGAGGCCGCACUCAGGCUGCGUUCAGGACGGAGAGCGGGAACAAGGCAGCCUCAGUGAGAGGAAGAGGAGCACGGCGGGGCGGGCGGGGGGAGAAGUCGGGGACCAGGCUGAGCUUCCAGAGCCCCCUCCCCACACACGACACGCUCAGUGCCCGCCACCAGCUGUGUGACACGGGAGGUGCCGUCCACCCCGCAGGGCCCCGGGGCUGUCCUGGGGGUGGUCCCGGGC
This is a long non-coding RNA of Camelus dromedarius (Arabian camel), 1981 nucleotides long. RefSeq lists it as uncharacterized. The record is from RefSeq and is a predicted model, not a curated record. NCBI's taxonomy places the organism in Eukaryota, Metazoa, Chordata, Mammalia, Artiodactyla, Camelidae. The transcript is spliced from 4 exons.